GCCUCCUCCACUAUGCCACAGGGCCAAAGCAACAGGGCCAGCCAAUUAUGGACUGAAAACUCUGAAACCACGAGGCAAAACAAUGUUUUUGCCUUUUAAAUUGAUUUAUUUCAAGUAUUUUGUCACAGUUACAGAAGGCUGACUAACACAGGGGUCAGCCUUGCACUUUGCCCCAUCUCUCUCCACAUAGCAGUCAGAGGUUGUGACAAACCUGCCAAAGUCCUCCAGGGACUGACAGUCACACUCAGGGUUACAGUCGUAGUCUCUGGCUGGCCCCAUGGCUUCUUAGCCAGUGUACUCUCCCUGAAAAUGUCCUGCCUGCUGACUUGACCGCCGUGUGGACUGGCUCAGGCCUGGGUACCUGUUCCUCUCUGCCUGGCAACCUGUGCUCUGCCCUGGCUCUGCAGGAAUGCAGUCCUUCAGAGGGCCCUUGAGUCUACCCUGUUGAAGAUACCUCCAUCUGUCACUGUUCCCUGUUGUUCCUCUGCCACUCAGCCCACCAGACACUAGCAUUUCUAUUUCUCUUCUGCCAGAGAUUCCCUGCCAGAGGAUAAAGACCAGGAGGACAGGUCUGAGAAUGCCCACGGCAUGGCUGGGCAACCAGAGAACACCUGAGGUGGAGGUGCACGCGCCACACAAAGCAGAACAGCAGAGCUACCCGAGGACCAGCUGGUGCCACAGGUGAAGCUGUUGGCUGCCCUGGUUCUGGACUACAGAGCCUGGUACGGCUCACACACUGCUGGAGCCAGACAGAGCCAGGAUGGUGUCCUUGGGAUAUAAAGCGUCCCCUGAAGAGUUCACGCGUCAGUGCAGCAGUGUUCAGAGUUGUUCUCGUCAGGUAUUUGGUCACAGGGAUGCAAAGCUGCCUGCCCAGAUGGAGAAUGAGCAUGUGUUCCAGUCAGAAUGAGGCCAAUGGCGAAGCCUGAGAACGGACAGUGGCAGGUCCGGAGAGUCAAAGAUGUGCCAUCCGAGGCCAACCUAGGUGUUCAGGGGGUGGCUGCUACUUGUUGAACCUCAAGUUUCUGUGUUGUAGUAAUCCCCUGAACUUCUAAAUGUGACUAUUUGGAAAUAGUCUUUAAGGGAUGAUUAAAUUAAAAUGAGGCCCGUAGAGUGGCCCUAACCCA
Marmota monax (woodchuck) is the source of this 1124-nucleotide long non-coding RNA. RefSeq lists it as uncharacterized. Lineage: Eukaryota; Metazoa; Chordata; Mammalia; Rodentia; Sciuridae. The record is from RefSeq and is a predicted model, not a curated record. The transcript is spliced from 3 exons.